Long non-coding RNA from Bactrocera dorsalis (oriental fruit fly), 822 nucleotides. RefSeq lists it as uncharacterized. The record is from RefSeq and is a predicted model, not a curated record. The transcript is spliced from 2 exons. Lineage: Eukaryota; Metazoa; Arthropoda; Insecta; Diptera; Tephritidae.
GUGCUACAUUGGAAAUAAAUUCCAAGAAAUGUUCCGCUGACCUGUCGCACAUGUUCACUUUGUGAAGAACGAACGCAAAAUGGAUUUGUGUGUCGUGUAUGGGCGAAGCGAAUUCACACAGAUCGAACGCACAUGUGUGUCGUGUAUGGCCUCUUUUACGCAAUACUAUUUCGCCAUACUCAAUGUCAAUUCUGGCAAGAUAUUUGAGUCGGUAUCUUGAGCUUCGGUUUUUUAAGUGUAUACCCAUACGUUUAAGUAAUAUAUGCAGCUUCGCAGAUUAUAAUAACUAAAUAAAUACAAAUAAAUUGCCUUGCAAACAUUUAUAUUUGGCUGUGAAUAAGUAUAUUCUGGACCCCACUAUUUAGCAUUUUUUUGUAUUGAAACGUAACAAGAUUUGGGCCCGACACGCGGCAGUCGUUAGCGAGCAAGUAAACGUAUCGAGUGAAAUUUCAUAACCCGUGCGACAAUCCAAACGUCUAGAAAUUUUAUGAAAUAACUUCCCUGGUGUAGCUCUAAAUGAAAUUUUCGAAUACACUGAAAUACGAAACAAAACAAAUUAUGAAAGUAUUUGAAUGGAAUUGAACCAACUUUCAUCGGUGGACCGGCAUCGUUUUAGCGUCAAUGCAUCCCAUAGCUUAUUUGAUGCAUCUUUGUCUUGCCCACAAUUAGGCAAAAUAUUAUUUGCUAAAUUCUGAUACCGUAGCAUAAAAUUACUCAUAAAAUUUUUUUGACGCAUAUUUAUUUUGUUUACAUUUGUCCUUAAAUCAUUAGUUGUAAUUAUAAUACAUGUUAAAUCAAUAAAAGAAAAUAACUUACAUUUUA